RNAcentral lists this ribosomal RNA (391 nucleotides) under uncultured bacterium. RNAcentral's name for it is "bacterial SSU rRNA". It matches the Rfam family "Bacterial small subunit ribosomal RNA", at positions 26 to 417 of the family's 1533-position model. The record is from RNAcentral.
AGGACGAACGCUGGCGGCGUGCUUAACACAUGCAAGUCGAGCGGUAAGGCCCUUUCGGGGUAACACGAGCGGCGAACGGGUGAGUAACACGUGGGUGACCUGCCCUCAGCUCUGGGAUAAGCCUGGGAAACUGGGUCUAAUACCGGAUAUGACUCCAUGACGCAUGUUGUGGGGUGGAAAGCCUUGUGCGGCUGAGGAUGGGCCCGCGGCCUAUCAGCUUGUUGGUGGGGUGAUGGCCUACCAAGGCGACGACGGGUAGCCGGCCUGAGAGGGCGACCGGCCACACUGGGACUGAGACACGGCCCAGACUCCUACGGGAGGCAGCAGUGGGGAAUCUUGCGCAAUGGGGCGAAAGCCUGACGCAGCGACGCCGCGUGAGGGAUGACGGCCU